AGCUGGCGUCCUACGGGCGUCCGCAUUGUAAUCUAUAGAGGCGUUUUCUGUGCCGGACCGUGUCCAAGUCCCUUGGAACAGGGUAUCAAAGAGGGUGACAAUCCCGUACUUGACACGACAACCAGUGCUCUGUGAUACGUCUUCUACGAGUCGAGUUGUUUGGGAAUGCAGCUCAAAAUGGGUGGUGAAUUCCAUCUAAAGCUAAAUAUUGGCGAGAGACCGAUAGCGAACAAGUACCGUGAGGGAAAGAUGAAAAGCACUUUGGAAAGAGAGUUAAACAGUAUGUGAAAUUGUUGAAAGGGAAACGAUGGAGGUCAGUCGUGUCUGUGGGAUUCAGCCGUCUCUGGCGGUGUACUUCCCACAGACGGGUCAACAUCAGUUUUGGCUGGCGGAUAAAGGCAGGAGGAAGGUGGCACCCCCGGGUGUGUUAUAGCCUCUUGUUGCAUACGCUGGCUGAGACUGAGGAAUGCAGCUCGCCUUUAUGGCCGGGGUUCGCCCAC
RNAcentral lists this ribosomal RNA (500 nucleotides) under Saitozyma cf. podzolica. RNAcentral's name for it is "LSU rRNA". It matches the Rfam family "Eukaryotic large subunit ribosomal RNA", at positions 120 to 634 of the family's 3401-position model. The record is from RNAcentral. Lineage: Eukaryota; Fungi; Basidiomycota; Tremellomycetes; Tremellales; Trimorphomycetaceae.